AGGCAGCAGUGGGGAAUAUUGGACAAUGGGCGAAAGCCUGAUCCAGCAAUGCCGCGUGAGUGAUGAAGGCCUUAGGGUAGUAAAGCUCUUUUACNCAGGGAUGAUANAUNNGACAUUACCUGGAGAAGAAGCUCCGGCUAACUCCGUGCCAGCAGCCGCGGUAAUACGGAGGGAGCUAGCGUUGUUAGGAAUUUCUGGGCGUAAAGCUCACGUAGGCGGCUUUUCAAGUCAGGGGUGAAAUCCCGGGGCUCAACCCCGGAACUGCCCUUGAAACUGGAAGGCUAGAAUACUGGAGAGGUNGAGUGGAAUUCCGAGUGUAGAGGUGAAAUUCGUAGAUAUUUGGAAGAACACCAGUGGCGAAGGCGACUCANCUGGACAAUCAUUGACGCUGAAGUGGGAAAGCGUGGGGAGCAAACAGGAUUAGAUACCUUNGGUANGUCNCACGCCGUAANUCGUUGANUAANCUAACUGGUCUGGGCACCUCGGAACUNNUCGCGGU
Molecule: ribosomal RNA, 499 nt
Filed under: uncultured bacterium
Lineage: Bacteria
Description: partial 16S ribosomal RNA
Rfam family: Bacterial small subunit ribosomal RNA
Source: RNAcentral